AGCUCCAAUAGCGUAUAUUAAAGUUGUUGUGGUUAAAAAGCUCGUAGUUGGAUCUCGGCGGUCUGAGGGCGGUUCGCUUGAUUGAGUGCUACUGCUCUAUAGGCCGUGGUUUUGCCAGAGGUCUCGGGGUGCUCUUAACCGAGUGUCCUGCGAUGCUGGCAGGUUUACUUUGAAAAAAUUAGAGUGCUCAAAGCAGGCUUUUACGCCUGAAUAUUCGUGCAUGGAAUAAUAGAAUAGGAAGUCGUUUCUAUUUUGUUGGUUUUCGGAAAUCGACUUAAUGAUUAAUAGGGACAGUCGGGGGCAUUUGUAUUCAAACGACAGAGGUGAAAUUCUUGGACCGUUUGAAGACAAACUACUGCGAAAGCAUUUGCCAAGAAUGUUUUCAUUAAUCAAGAACGAA
RNAcentral lists this ribosomal RNA (400 nucleotides) under phytoplankton environmental sample. RNAcentral's name for it is "partial small subunit ribosomal RNA". It matches the Rfam family "Eukaryotic small subunit ribosomal RNA", at positions 587 to 987 of the family's 1831-position model. The record is from RNAcentral.